AGAGUAUGGUUUAAAGGUAAAACAAUAGCGUUCCAUGUUAUUAAUCCGGGUUCGAGUCUCCGGUAUUCUU
RNAcentral lists this transfer RNA (70 nucleotides) under Beauveria caledonica. RNAcentral's name for it is "tRNA-Gly". It matches the Rfam family "tRNA". Rfam says of the family: Transfer RNA (tRNA) molecules are approximately 80 nucleotides in length. Their secondary structure includes four short double-helical elements and three loops (D, anti-codon, and T loops). Further hydrogen bonds mediate the characteristic L-shaped molecular structure. tRNAs have two regions of fundamental functional importance: the anti-codon, which is responsible for specific mRNA codon recognition, and the 3' end, to which the tRNAs corresponding amino acid is attached (by aminoacyl-tRNA synthetases). tRNAs cope with the degeneracy of the genetic code in two manners: having more than one tRNA (with a specific anti-codon) for a particular amino acid; and 'wobble' base-pairing, i.e. permitting non-standard base-pairing at the 3rd anti-codon position. The record is from RNAcentral. Lineage: Eukaryota; Fungi; Ascomycota; Sordariomycetes; Hypocreales; Cordycipitaceae.